This 465-nucleotide ribosomal RNA is filed under the name uncultured bacterium. Its description in RNAcentral is "partial 16S ribosomal RNA". It matches the Rfam family "Bacterial small subunit ribosomal RNA", at positions 28 to 507 of the family's 1533-position model. The record is from RNAcentral.
GACGAACGCUGGCGGCGUGCUUAACACAUGCAAGUCGAACGGAAAGGCCCCUUUGGGGGUACUCGAGUGGCGAACGGGUGCGUAACACGUGAGUAACCUGCCCUUGACUUCGGGAUAACUUCAGGAAACUGGGGCUAAUACCGGAUAGGAAUAAUUGCUGCAUGGUGGGGGUUGGAAAGCUUCGGCGGUUUUGGAUGGAAUCGCGGCGUAUCAGCUUGUUGGUGGGGUAGUGGCUUACCGAGGCGGUGACGGGUAGCGGGCCUGAGAGGGCGACCGGCCACCUUGGGUCUGAGGUACGGCCCAGACUCCUACGGUAGGCAGCUGUGGGGAAGAUUGCCCAAUGGGCGGAGGCCUGAUGCAGCAGCGCCUCGGGCGGGAUGACUGCCUUCGGGUUGUAAACCGCUUUCAGCAGUGGCGAAGCUUGUGGUGACGGUACCUGCAGAAGAAGCACCGGCUAACUACGUG